UAGACAUGAGACUGGUUCUUUGUAACACGAUAAAUCCUUAGUCGACGGAGUCAAAUAAAUCUUUCGAAUAUACGAUAAGAAUCCAAUGUCUCACGCGAGGUGGUAUUUAUUACCACACCUACAACCCUAUAUUUGGAACCAGGAAGAGUUUCACAAUUACUCUUUUUGGCUGGAUUUUAUAAGUGCUGCCAUCUAGCAAAAACGCUAUGAACCACGUCGAAAUGAAGGCUUCGCCGCUACCGAAUAAGUUUCUGAAAUUCACCACGGCUCCUUGGGUGGCCUCCACGUAACGGACAGUACAUUAGCAUAACUGUCAAAAUUAUAUCAAUUUUGUCACAGUACGUUUAGUACUAAACGAGGACAACAAGAUUUCCAGAUGAAAUGGAGUUUGGUGGGAGUAAGAAGAGAAUAUGAACGGAAAAGAGAUGGAGACUUAAAGUUCAGCUUAAUAUAAUUGGGUAUAUUGGUACAAGUUGACAAUACUGAAGAACAAUUCAAUGACAGAAGUAAAUGAUGAAUUUAUAUAUUAUUUCUGAAGGAAUACAUUAACUCACUGAAUCAACAAAUUAGUAAGAAUAGGUAACUCAAUACAUUGUCAUGAUAACUAUAAAUAACCAAUAUUGUAUUGUCCAAGAGUGUUACUACCGCUCCAGCACCUAAAAUAGAACGACAAAUACAGGAUCUCAUAGCGCCAACAUUUCUAAAGCCAGAUACAUAUUAGAUUAAGAAACCGAAGAAAAAAGGAAAAACAAAAUUGAAAACAAGCCAUUGUUAUGUUAUACGAAGGUUGAACGAGGAAAAGGCAAUCUACAUGGAGGGUUUGCACCGGACGCCUGCGAGAUGAGGAAAUAAGAAUUCAUCCUUUCACGCUGCGGGGGGUUGGGUGGGCUUCAGCGGGGUUUGGGGGGGUUGAAGGCUAGGGGUGUGAAGACGGACGACGCCGUUCCAAAAUCCCAUUAUACGAACAGGAGCUGUUUUCUAUCUUGGGAUGGAGACUCCACCGACCCACUCCCGGUGCGAUUUCCAACUUUGUUUAUGAAAAUUACCCAUUAAAAUAGCAAUGAAAGUAAUGCUUUUACUCACGAAAUUAAUUACGAAAUUGAUAUAGAUUUUUAUUGAGGGUACGUUUGGGUUGUCAGUGGUCCGCUGUUAUUUCCUUUACUUACGAUUGAUAUAAUAUUUUUAAAGUAGCUUAAUUGUUUUAUUUAAAUAACUAGCUGACCCGGCAAACGUUGUUUUGCCAUAUAAAGUAUAAUUCACGCUAUAGUUUUAUAAGUAAUAAAAUAUUGCCUAUAUUAUAGCCUGUACAUCAUUUUGUUCUAUUGUCAAUAGUUUCUGCAG
This is a long non-coding RNA of Leptidea sinapis, 1341 nucleotides long. RefSeq lists it as uncharacterized. NCBI's taxonomy places the organism in Eukaryota, Metazoa, Arthropoda, Insecta, Lepidoptera, Pieridae. The transcript has 4 exons. The record is from RefSeq and is a predicted model, not a curated record.